RNAcentral lists this unclassified non-coding RNA (245 nucleotides) under uncultured fungus. Its description in RNAcentral is "sequence contains ITS1, 5.8S rRNA gene". The stretch from base 197 to 245 matches the Rfam family "5.8S ribosomal RNA", at positions 1 to 49 of the family's 154-position model. The record is from RNAcentral. Lineage: Eukaryota; Fungi.
UUUCCGUAGGUGAACCUGCGGAAGGAUCAUUAUCGAGUUCCUGCCCUCCGGGGUAGAUCUCCCACCCUUGCUUAUUAUACCAUGUUGCCUUGGCAGGCCGUCCCUCCUGGGCCACUGGCACUCGCUGGUGUGUGCCUGCCAUAGGACCACAAAAUCUGUAUCACUGGUGUCGUCAGAGUAAAAUGUAAUAUUUUAAAACUUUCAACAACGGAUCUCUUGGUUCUGGCAUCGAUGAAGAACGCAGC